Molecule: small RNA, 164 nt
Filed under: Luteitalea pratensis
Lineage: Bacteria; Pseudomonadati; Acidobacteriota; Vicinamibacteria; Vicinamibacterales; Vicinamibacteraceae
Also listed under: 1 other name
Description: c-di-AMP riboswitch aptamer (ydaO/yuaA leader)
Rfam family: c-di-AMP riboswitch aptamer (ydaO/yuaA leader)
About the family: This family represents a conserved RNA structure found upstream of the ydaO and yuaA genes in Bacillus subtilis and related genes in other bacteria. The ydaO/yuaA element is thought to act as a genetic "off" switch for the ydaO and yuaA genes in its native state. It is believed that the element may be triggered during osmotic shock leading to activation of ydaO, a predicted amino acid transporter gene, and members of the yuaA-yubG operon which code for KtrA and KtrB K+ transporters.
Source: Rfam by way of RNAcentral
GUUGAAAUCACGCCAAAGACGCCCAACCAGCGUCACGGGGGACCCAAGGCGCGAAUGACCGCGCACCGGGGCGAAUUCCGCUGAACUCCUACACGGACCACGCGGAUAGAGCAACUCCAGGCUCGAGCCCGUCAGCUAACCUCGUCGGCGCGUGGAGUCUGUCG